UUAUCGCUGAGGAAAAUAUGGCGACGGCUUUGUUCAACACGACCAGAAGCUCUAACCUCUACCACCACCACUCAGUUCUCCCUCCGUUCUCCCAACGGUUUCACAUCCGCCGUCAAAAUAUCUUCUCUCUAGUGACUCCUCGCCGCUUACGCCGUCUCGCCGUCGUUGGUGGUCCUCCAUCUUCUCCGAGUCCUGAUCCGCCUCCGCCUGAGAACACCACUCAGCUCGAAGGUGUUGUGGGAGCUGUGACAAGGAUUGAAGACCGCGUAAAGAUCUUCCUGGCAGUACUGAUUUGGAUGUCUCUCUUCUUCUGGGUUACAGUGGUCGAUGGGAUGGGUAAAGGCAAAGGGAAGAAGGGUUCUCGUUUCAAGUAAUUUCCCAAACUCUGGUGUGAUUGCUCAUCAUCAUCAUCAUUAAUAUUCCACAAACUGUAUAUUUAUGGUCUCGAGAGAUCAAAAUCACCUGUAGAAAUUCUCCCCAAGUAAAGCAUAUUUCUUGUAGAUCAGUCAUUCAGAUGAUAGGAUUCAACAAUAUACAUUAUAAUAUGGUAAGAUGAUUCUCUUUUGGUUUCAUAGUUUUCAUCCAUUUUUCGCUGCUCUAUAAUGUACAUGAUAAUAAUUUGAUUAAUUUCUCA
RNA transcript from Brassica napus (rape), 634 nucleotides. RefSeq lists it as uncharacterized. The record is from RefSeq and is a predicted model, not a curated record. NCBI's taxonomy places the organism in Eukaryota, Viridiplantae, Streptophyta, Magnoliopsida, Brassicales, Brassicaceae. The transcript is spliced from 3 exons.